GGCUCCGUCACGGAGGUGGGGCAGUGCUGGUAAAAUCCUGAUCCGCACUAGGCUCCUCUGCCACCACCCCAGUGGGGAAAGGCAGACAUGCUCAGUGGGAGUCUCACCGCCUCCGAGGUCUCGGCUGAAGCACCCUGGGGGAGGCUGUGACAGCGAGUGUGGGCGUCUAGGCUCUCCACCUGACCCCUGCUGCGUGUGUAGGACAGGGUCUGGGCCAGCCCAUCAGGCUGCCCCCAGCCCCAAGUGAACAGAUAAGAUGCCUGGGGCCAGCCUCGUGGCGCAGUGGAUUAGGCUGCGGGCUGUGACCCAGCAUCCCACAUCAGGGCACGGUUCUAGUCCUGGAUGCUCUGCUUCCACCCAGCUCUCUGCUAAUGCGCCUGGGAGGGAAGCAGGUGAUGGCUGACUGCCUGGGCUCCUGCCACCCACGUGGGACACCAGAGUUACAGGCUCCUGGCUUUGACCUGAACCAGCAUGUGGAAGAUCUCUCCCUCUCUCUCUCUGACCUUUCAAAUAACUAAACAAACCUUUAAAAACAACAAAGAUGUGUGAAUCUCCACAGGAGGGCCCACAACACACGCUUUUAUCUGCCAUCCCAUGUGCUACGAACGCAGGACGGAGCAGGCCUGGGAAAGCAGUGUGCUCACCGCUUCUGGAAUGAUCUCUCCCACGGAGUCUGCAGCGCCCUCACCUGACACGGAGAAGUCCCCCAGGCCCCAUUCGCCUAGCCACGCCUCUGUGGCAGCCAGGAAAGAGAGGCAGGGCUGACUUUAGGAUGAGAAUAAAAAUGGCCACAAAAACGCAGGCCCCAGUCACCUAAGCUGAGCAAACACAAAAAGUGACAGCAGGCACGGUGCAAUGACAGGGUUGCCUGCAGUCACCCGGGGGUGGGGGGCAAGGUGUGUCUGGCCCACACGCUGUCCGCUAAGGCGUCUCACUCUGAUGAUGCAUGAAAUUAGCCACCCUGCAGAGCUGCGCCCACAUCCACGCCAACCGGCAACGUGGCCUCCUCUCAUUACCCUGCCUGCCACACAGCCACCUGGAGGCGUGUGAUUGAUGACAACCUCAUAAACCUGGGGGAACGGGCCGUCCUGGUGCCCUGCAAGAGCGAAGCUGCCACUCACAGUCGCAUUAAUCAUCACGUGUCGAUGCUGGCUUCCCCGCAGUCACGCCUUGGUGGGCCACCCCACGGCCUCUAAGAUGUGACACAGUUUCUGGGACAGCCGCACCUGCUGCACUCAGGGACACUGUGUCCCGAACUUCAAAGCAAGCAACUCUUGGACACCCUUCUACUGCUUGAGGACUGAACUGUUUUCUACUACUCUCUGCCCAAGGUAGAAUCCAGCAAGCCCCCUUCCCUGCCUCCUUUGUAGCUAGGACACAAGUGUGUAACUGGUUUCCACCAAAGACCCUCACGCAACACUUCAAAGGGGAAGGCCAGAAUGAGCUCAGAGAGGGGUGGCGUUUGCUGGUCAGGGUGUGGUUGGGCCAGCCUCCCUCACACUUGUAAGCUGAGCUUGCGACUCUGGCCCGAGCGCCAGCACUGGAUGCCGUGUCAGCCGAGACGAGCCCCGGUGGAGCCCAGGGCGGCAUCACGGCGUCACAGGCUCCCUGGUGUUAGCGGCGGCUGCUGCAGCAGCAUUUUCUCAUCAGGGCAGGCCUGCAGCGUGUCUGCCCAUCGCUACUCAAAGCACAGCUCCAAACCCAAUUCUCCGGCCCCCAACACUUCCGUGAGCUGCUCGGUCUCCUUCUAGAAACUCUUCCAGUGCCUGGAAAGAUGUCCAUGAUACACAACCCUGGACUCUCCAACUGCGCCCCUGAAGGCCACCAUUCAGGCCUUCGGAACUCAAGACAGAGACGCGUGCUCAAGUUCUGCAGGCUGCUGCCGCCUGCUGGCCCCUGGGCCCCUUGAAGCAGCGUGGCCAGCUCUGCACAACAGCACGGGGCUGCACAAUGCUGCUGGCACAUUUUAUCCCAUCACACCCUUGUGGUCUUAUAAAAACAAAUAAGAAAAGAUAUUAAAAUGUUGAUAUUUGUAACAAGACUAUGAUGAGGUCUUAAGUGCUUAAUAAAAUUGAAACAAAGAAAUCACUGGGGCACUACAAGGAGAAGCCUUGAUUUGCUGCUCAUGGGAGGGAAGCAGGCAGACUUGGGGUUCAAGUGCAAAGUCUGAGAACAAAUUGCAAGAAGGGGAAUGAGAUACCAGACUAACUUAGGCCUCUGAGAUGCGAUCACCUGAGAGAGUGUAUGCCUGUUAUUCACUUGUGCGUAUUUAACUUUUGAAUGGCUCUUGAGAAACACAUUGUGUGUGAAGGCACAGGGGACUGUUCAUAUAUUCUAAAGUAAAAUAAGUAGAAUGCAGGAGAGAGCGCCUAGGUGGAGGCCAGAUUUAAAACAGAGAUGCAUGUGCGUGUGCUGUGAGACACUCUGCAUGGACACCUGCCAACUCUAGAAAGGUGCUAACUCUGUGGGUAGAGAGGGUAAAGGAAUUUCACUUGCUAUUUCACAUAGCCUUGGAUGGUUAGAAAUUUUGCAACACAUAAGUGUUACAUACUGUUAGAAU
This is a non-coding RNA of Oryctolagus cuniculus (rabbit), 2560 nucleotides long. Lineage: Eukaryota; Metazoa; Chordata; Mammalia; Lagomorpha; Leporidae. The record is from RefSeq and is a predicted model, not a curated record.